Molecule: small nuclear RNA, 106 nt
Organism: Bombina bombina (fire-bellied toad)
Lineage: Eukaryota; Metazoa; Chordata; Amphibia; Anura; Bombinatoridae
Source: RefSeq, a predicted model, not a curated record
GUGCUCACUUUGCACAUAUAUUUAAAUUGCAAAGAUAUGGGGAAGAUUAGCAGCAAGGCUCUUCAGCAAAGAUGAUACACACAUUUCUGAAGUUUUUCAUGUUUUU